GAAUUGGUUUCGUGGUGUUAUCACGUCAGUUUAACACACUGAAGGUCUCCGGUUCGAACCCGGGAGAAGCCA
Non-coding RNA from Penstemon davidsonii, 72 nucleotides. The record is from the annotation of a GenBank genome assembly. NCBI's taxonomy places the organism in Eukaryota, Viridiplantae, Streptophyta, Magnoliopsida, Lamiales, Plantaginaceae.